This 28-nucleotide transfer RNA is filed under the name Saponaria pamphylica. Its description in RNAcentral is "partial tRNA-Lys". The record is from RNAcentral. Lineage: Eukaryota; Viridiplantae; Streptophyta; Magnoliopsida; Caryophyllales; Caryophyllaceae.
ACUCAACGGUAGAGUACUCGGCUUUUAA